RNAcentral lists this ribosomal RNA (594 nucleotides) under uncultured bacterium. RNAcentral describes it as "bacterial SSU rRNA". It matches the Rfam family "Bacterial small subunit ribosomal RNA", at positions 338 to 944 of the family's 1533-position model. The record is from RNAcentral.
CCUACGGGAGGCAGCAGUGAGGAAUUUUCCGCAAUGGGCGAAAGCCUGACGGAGCAAUACCGCGUGAGGGAUGAAGGAUUUUGGUUCUGUAAACCUCUUUUCUCAAGAAAGAAGUUCUGACGGUACUUGAGGAAUAAGCAUCGGCUAACUCCGUGCCAGCAGCCGCGGUAAUACGGGGGAUGCAAGCGUUAUCCGGAAUGAUUGGGCGUAAAGCGCCUGUAGGUUGUUUAUUAAGUCCGUUGUUAAAGCCUAGGGCUUAACCCUAGAAAAGCAAUGGAAACUAGUAGACUAGAGUAUGGCAGGGGUAGAGGGAAUUUCUAGUGUAGCGGUGAAAUGCGUAGAUAUUAGAAAGAACACCGGUGGCGAAAGCGCUCUACUGGACCAUUACUGACACUCAGAGGCGAAAGCUAGGGUAGCAAAAGGGAUUAGAUACCCCUGUAGUCCUAGCCGUAAACGAUGGAUACUAGAUGUCGUGCAUUAUGUACAGUAUCGUAGCUAACGCGUUAAGUAUCCCGCCUGGGGAGUACGCUCGCAAAGGGUGAAACUCAAANAGAGUAGAGNGNGAGAAGUGCGACGACGACGACGAGGAGGAGG